GCAUACGUCAGAAUGUUUAUCCCAACUCACGAACACUCACCGAAGAGGAUUUCCAGAACGGCUUCGGAAAGUGACGAAAACAAUGGGGAGAGCACCACAAGGGUGAACAGCGGUGAGAGGCUGGAUGCAUGCUGAGUGCAGAAGUCUCAGCUCCAGCUUCCAAUGCAGGGCAGUGUGGUAGCAGCCAGGUUUCCGUCACUUCCGGCUGCUGUGAGGGUCCACGUGGAUGAAGAGCAGAAGCUGGGAAGCGCUGUCCUGUGCAGGAGGACGGAUGUGAGCAGAGGCGGCUGUGCCCAGGGAGCUGUGGGGAAUCUGAGAUCCGCUCAGAGUCUGCUCAGAGCUUGAGAACCUGCCAAACAGUUGCACCUGCUUGGUCUGCUCCAGAGUCUGGGAGAGAACACGAGGCUCCAAAUGGGCUCUGGGGAGCCAGGCUGUAACCCAGCAGGGAGAAGAACCAUUAAAGCCGUCUGAAAGUGAAACCAGCGGGGAGGCACAGGAGAGUCGUGUCUGGAGGUGUUGCAAAUAACUUUUAUAUCCAGAGAGUUCUGGAAAUUGUCACAAAUGCUACGCAGUGCACUUUGUUGUGUCCCCCUCCCAGGCUGUGCACUGAUAACGGCAUUAUGAUUGCAUGGAAUGGCAUUGAAAGAUUACGUGCUGGCUUGGGCAUUUUACACAACGUAGAAGGCAUCCGCUAUGAACCAAAGUAUGUGGUACCAUUUAUAAACUUUGUGCCAGUUACCUGGUAUAAGCCAAAGGCUGAAUUUUGCUUUUAUAAUGUGAGAUUUUCAUUGACAUUCUGAUGGUACUCGAAGGAAAGUUGCAUGAAUUUUUUUCAGGAACCUACUUGAGGUUGACAUGUUAUAAGAAAUAUUUUUGCUACAGAAUCAAACUAUAAAAUUUUUGACAAGUCACAAGUGAGUUAGGAACCAGCUCUGGGUAGGAGUGAUACAUUUCCUUUUUUGGGGGACCAGAAUAGAAACUAUCUCCAUAGCCUGGAUUUGUGCAGUGUCAAAAGGCUCUUAGAACUAGCUGGUAUGCUGGGGAACUUAAGGAAAACAUGCAGAAAGCGUUCAGGUAUGAGAUUGAGUUGUGACUAUGGUCUUAUAGGGGCAGCUGAGAAGUGCUCAAGCUGCUUCCUGCAAUCCUUA
Molecule: non-coding RNA, 1148 nt
Organism: Heterocephalus glaber (naked mole-rat)
Lineage: Eukaryota; Metazoa; Chordata; Mammalia; Rodentia; Bathyergidae
Source: RefSeq, a predicted model, not a curated record